This is an RNA transcript of Phycodurus eques (leafy seadragon), 5460 nucleotides long. It is a transcript of the gene named ubiquitin associated protein 2a, with no coding region annotated. The record is from RefSeq and is a predicted model, not a curated record. The transcript has 24 exons. Lineage: Eukaryota; Metazoa; Chordata; Actinopteri; Syngnathiformes; Syngnathidae.
ACAAAACAAGUUGUGUCCAGAGGACAUCGGAGGAGAAUCCACCGCGGUAGCCUUAUCACGUGACCACCUUGUCUGCUGCUGGCUGAGUGAAGCGUGUUAGCAGGUUUUUCUAUUUUGUACAUACAGAGUUUUGUAUAUACUGUAUAUGAUGAGCUCGCUGGGCAACGAAAAGGCCCGGGGCCCUCGUGAAAAAGUGCCGCCUGCUGCCACUCACAUGUCUCAACCACAGAAACAGAUACAGGCUACCGCUGAGCAAAUUCGGCUUGCCCAGAUGAUCUAUGACAAGAAUGAUGCUGACUUUGAAGACAAAGUUAACCAGUUGAUGGAGGUUACUGGCAAGAACCAGGAUGAAUGUAUGGUCGCGCUUCAUGACUGCAACGAGGAUGUGAGCAGAGCCAUCAACUUCCUCCUGGAGAGCACCUCGGAUAUGACCUCAUGGGAGACAGUAGGGAAGAAGAAGCCGCUGAUGAAGGAGGGCCCUUCAGAAAGCAAGGAGAACAAGGAGAACCGGGAGAAGAAAGGCGACAGGGAGGCUAGCAAGGGCCGUGCGACAUCAAACCGCAAGGGCAAAGGGGCCAACCGAAGCCGACAGGGUGCAGUUCGUCCAGAGGAAAAUGGCGUGGAGGUGACACCAGUGGACAGAGGCUCCGAUCGAGGAAGGAGGGCAAAAGGUGGUCGAGGGUCUGGCAGUCGAGGCAGAGGCAGAGGACCAGCAGCAAGCAGGUUCUCAGCCCAGGGCAUGGGAACCUUCAAUCCCGCAGACUAUACCUCAGAGGCGGGGACGGGAACCACACAGAGUGAGGCUUGGGACACAGCGGCCAACAACAAUACAGAUGACAUGGCUAACUGGAGGAACCCGAUUGAAGAAUAUGGACCUGAGGACUGGAAUGAAGAUGUUAGUCUCUCGGAGACCAAAGUAUUCACUUCCUCAUGCGCGCCUCCUGCUGAGAAUCACAUCACUUCUGGCCAAAGUUUGGACCUAGUCUCUCUGCUGCAGAAGCCUGUGGUCGGUGGAAGAGAAGCACCCUCCUCCUCACAGAGUCUGGUCUUUACCAACUCUCACCACCACCAACCACCACAGCAGCAACAUCAGCCUCCCCCCAGCCGUAGCACCACCGGUGGCACCAGCUAUGCUCAUGCUGCCCUGACAUCAGUUCUUGGAGCUGGUUUUGGAGACCUGAGCCAAGCCAAGAGGCCUCCACCUAGUGCAGGAGCUCAGAUACUGGAACAGCUUAAGGGUCCUGGUUUGGGUCCUCUGCCGUCGUCCCAGGUGGCACAUCCAGCCAGCACCCAAGGAGGCAACCCUUCAAUUAGCCGCCUGCCAAGCCUGGGACCAUCUGUACCUCCACCCUCUUCCUCCAGUUGGGACAUGAAGGCGCCAGAAUCUAACGCCGCCACCACACUAUCCUCACAGUUUAGCCGUGAGUUUGGCCUCCAGCCAGAGCCUUCACUUGUACUGAGCCAGCUCAUUCAGAGGCACACUGGCCCCUCCUUGCCACUGGCACGUCAGCCCAGUCCACCGUCUCAACAACAAGCGGCCCCUGCGCCACUCUCCUCUGCUCAGCAGCACAGCAGCUCGUUGGCACAGGCAGGCCCAGUGUUGGCAGCUGCUGGUCUCAAGCAUCCGUCCCCCAGCACAGGUCUGGAUGCUCAGGGCUGCGGGACACCACAGCAGCAGCGGGCUCAACUGAAAGGUCAAAAACGAAGGCUACCUCCGACUUCAAAGAUCCCCUCCACAGCAGUAGAAAUGCCAGGCUCCACUGAUGUCCCUGGUAUAAACCUUCAGUUUGGAGCAUUGGACUUUGGCUCUGAGUCUGCUUUGCCAGAGUUUGGACUUGUGGACAGCGCUGUCAGUGCAGCAUCCAGGGAAUCCACUCCGGCCCCUGGCCCUGUUGCGCCCACAUCAGGACCAGGGACGCAGAGUCAGACAAGCAUGUACUCCAAACCACUCAGUGAGUCGCUUGGCAGUCCUCUCUCUGUCGACCUCCCUCUGCCCCUCUCCUCGUCUGAGCCAGUGUAUCACUCGUCCUCAGUGGCACUCCCCAGUCUCACGCCCUCUUCACUAGGGCCCGCCAACUCCAGCAAUCCUCCCUCGUCGUCGCUGACCACUUCUACCAUCUCGUCUUGCUCUAUACCGCCUUUCUCCACAGUGGGAGGAAGCUAUGAUGGGUCCCUGCCGCCUCAAGCACGUCUGGCCUUCUCCCAGAACAAAGAAGCCACUGGAACGGUUAUGGUGAGGAGAAAUGAUAUACAGAAGUUUAUCAUUCCUUCUAUUCAGUUUAAAUGGUCUGAAUGGAGUAAGGACAUCUGCAGCUUUAGACACGCCAACAUCAACUGCGCUCCCGCACUCUCCUCCCACUUAGCCCCCUCCACAUUGCCUGCACAGAGCUCCACCACGCUCUCCAGCCUGGCACAGGACCUUCCCUCAGCCGGCCAGCUCAACGCUCUCAACAGCCAUGUCAACAGUCAUUCCUCAGCUCUUGGCUCCAAUUCUCUCACCUACACAAGCAUUGACAGCAGCGUGAGCUCUCUCGCUCCCUCCUCCGCCUCCUACACUUUGUCACAACCACCACCUUCAGCGCUUCACUCAGUCCACAACAGUAGCAGCAGCUGCAUCAGCCACCUGGCGAGCAUGUCCAGCAUGGUCAACAUGAGCAGCAACGUCUGCGGUAUCGCAGGCACAAGCGGCCUUCACUCUGCUACCACCAGCACGGCGCUGGGACUUGGCUCCAAUGGAGCUACUGGCACAUCCAACCUCUCUGGACCAAGGACCACACCCCUGCUCUCCUCCUCCACUGGUAAAGCCCCGCCUAACCUGUCCCAAGGAGUUCCUCCUCUUCUGCCCAACCAGUAUAUCAUGGGUCCAGGGGGACUGCUGCCAGCAUACCCACAGAUUUAUGGAUAUGAGGAUCUCCAUAUGCUCCAGUCCAGACUACCAAUGCCCUCACUCCAGGAUUACUAUGGAAUCACAUUCCCUGGCCCCACUGCCACUCUGUCGAGCAGAGACGGGAGCCUCACCAACAACCUCUAUUCAGGAGGUGACAUCACAAAGUUUGGAAGGAAUGACUCCACCUCUCCAGCACCACCCACAAGCCUGUCAGCUCAGCAGCAGCCCCCACAGGGCCAAAAUCAAGGCCCGAGCCAGAGCCAGCCUCAGCCUCCUCAGGCCCAGCCUCAGCCGCAGGGCCAGCCACAGCACCACAGCAGUCAGCAGGCCUUCCUGCCUCCAGGCUACAGCUAUACAGGGCUGCCUUACUAUGCCGGCAUGCCCGGCGCCGUACCAAGUGCCGCAGCGUUCCAGUAUGGCCCCACCAUGUUUGUUCCUCCAGGGGGCCCAGGACCAGCCUCAGCAAAGCAGCACAGCAUGGGUCUCAGCCUGGGCAACCCGUCUGCAAGCCCCUUCCAGCAGCAGACACAACAGCAGCCCACUGGUUAUGGCCAGCACACCUUCAGCUCAGGUCAGUGACUUCACAACAGAUUCAGCGUCAUUAUUUGCCGCUUAUUAGUUUCCUUUUGUAUUAUAGUGGGACCGUGACUUACGAGUGUUCCAGUUUAGGGUAUUUUUGGUUGAUUUGUGUUGGGAGCAAAAAUGUAUGUUAUGAGCGAGCUUCAGAUUAGCUGGUGCUCGAGCGAAAUGGGGGGGAAAAAAGGGGGAACCACAGUCACUGAUCCACUGUCAGCCAUGUAUUGACCAGGUAAACUAUUACACACACAAAGACAAAAUGUGAACCCUCAGAAGGAGCAUGGAGCAGACCUCACACUGAACUAAUCAUGUGGUAAACAGCCAACCCAGCUCGUCUUCAGCUCCUGGUGGCACUCAGUAGGCCACACACCUUAAAGACACUCAUAAAUGUAUGUGUGUGUUUUGGCUUACUUACACUUUAAAAAACAAACAGGUCUGCACCUGCCAGGGGCUCAAAAGGGAGGUGGGCACAAGCCAUGGAGCACUAAGCGCUGGUCCCACGGCGGGGCUCGCGGCGUCCCCAUGAGCAACAACACCGGGUCGCAGUUCCCCACCGUGCUAUUGUCGACCAAAACAUGUCGGGCUGAUAUCGCAGCCACACACACACCAUUGGAGGUCAACCUCUAUCCAGGAGAGACCGCAGGAACUCCAGAACUGUGGGAACCGAGCAAAGCACUCAGUCCUGCCUGUGGUCUCCACAACCCCUGCAAACAAUGUCCACCAACUGGCAUAUCAAAGCCGUCGCCCUGGCGACCAGAAUGGUCCACCGGACAGGCUCCGCACAACUGCUCAGCAGAGAGUCAAGCCAUACAGCGGGAAAACCCAUAAGUGGAAGCAGUGAGGAUUGGGAUGCCAAGGCCUACCCCCAUGUCGGAACAACAGAUCAGUCCCGCCGGGGAGACACCAUGGUUCGGUCAAGCAAAGUUUGCGCAACAGGGAGAACCAUGUCCAGUCUGGCCAGAAAGGGGCCACCAGCAACAGUGACCCUCCUGAAGAACCCUAAGAAGCAUUAGCCAAACAGAGGUAGCGGUGGAAAGCCAGAAAGGAGGCAUCCCAGCCAAGGGUUCACCACCGCAUCUUCGCCCUGAGUUGAUUUCCCACAGAGAAAACCAAAGGGGACUGUCCGUCACAACGACAGCAGGCCCAUCAGUACCACAGCUGUCGUGGAUGUCAGCUGACUAAAAAGUUGCAGGAAAGCCAUGUACGGCAGCAAUCUGUCCUCCCAGAAGAGUGUGAGGAGGCAAAGAACGUCGUUCACCCAGUGAAAGGAUGGUUGAUCUGAUCCAGUCCCGCCACUGCAGCAUCAUCCAUGGGUGCGAAAACUCGUCCGUCCUCUGACAGCUGUGAGAGAGCCACAGUAUCUCCCCAGCAAGCAUGUAGCCCGUUCAAAUAGUCAUCUGAUGGGGGCACAGAAAGGGUAGGAAAGAGCCUCCAAUGCCUGAGGACGGCGAUCCCAGGAGCCAACCGAGUGCACUGUGGGACGCGCCAAGGCAUUGCACAAGAUACCCUGCACUGAGCUAUCAACUGCCCUGCCGGAGACACUGAAGCUGCCAGAGAAAUCACCACCCUGAGCAAGCCCUAGCACGGAGGGGUACACCCUGAACUGGUUGCCAGCCAAUCGCAGGGCACAUAUAAACAAUUAUUCGCACUCACAUUCACAGCUACAGGCAAUUUACAGUCUUCAAUUAACCUACCAUGUAUGUUUUGGGAUGUGGGAGGAAACCGGAGUACCCGGAGAAAACCCACGCAGGCACGGAGAGAACAUGCAAACUACACACAGGCGAGACCGGAUUUGAACCCGGGUCCUCAGAACUGUGAGGCAGAUGUGCUAACCAGUUGUCCGCCGUGCCGCCCAGUCUAUAGCCAUCCAGUCAGAUGCGUGGUGACAAUCGCACCCACAACACAAACGAUACGAGGAGCUGACCGCAGGACCAGCUGCAGUGGACUAUAGUAAAGGCUACAAUUCCUCCUCUCAGGCACAAGCCAAAUCUGCUGCU